CCUACGGGUGGCAGCAGUGAGGAAUAUUGGUCAAUGGGCGCGAGUCUGAACCAGCCAAGUAGCGUGAAGGAUGACUGCCCUAUGGGUUGUAAACUUCUUUUAUAUAGGAAUAAAAUGUGCCACGUGUGGGAUUUUGUAUGUACCAUAUGAAUAAGGAUCGGCUAACUCCGUGCCAGCAGCCGCGGUAAUACGGAGGAUCCGAGCGUUAUCCGGAUUUAUUGGGUUUAAAGGGAGCGUAGAUGGGUUGUUAAGUCAGUUGUGAAAGUUUGCGGCUCAACCGUAAAAUUGCAAUUGAAACUGGCAGUCUUGAGUACAGUAGAGGUGGGCGGAAUUCGUGGUGUAGCGGUGAAAUGCUUAGAUAUCACGAAGAACUCCGAUUGCGAAGGCAGCUUACUGGACUGCCACUGACACUGAGGCUCGAAAGUGUGGGUAUCAAACAGGAUUAGAUACCCCAGUAGUC
This 460-nucleotide ribosomal RNA is filed under the name uncultured bacterium. Its description in RNAcentral is "partial 16S ribosomal RNA". It matches the Rfam family "Bacterial small subunit ribosomal RNA", at positions 338 to 795 of the family's 1533-position model. The record is from RNAcentral.